GUCAAGUUAGUUUAGCUUAAAACAUCAGCUUGUGGAUUUGAAAAGGAAAAUUAGUUUCACUUGACC
This 66-nucleotide transfer RNA is filed under the name Buccinum tsubai. RNAcentral describes it as "tRNA-His". Lineage: Eukaryota; Metazoa; Mollusca; Gastropoda; Neogastropoda; Buccinidae. The record is from RNAcentral.